CCGACGUCUAGGGAAGACAUAUUUGUAAGGACGAACCAGUUCUGUCGGGUGAACAGAUUUACAGACAUUACAGACAAGUCUAGAGCCAGGGCUGUGCUGGAUUGCAGAAGCCAUGUGGUUACUCAGCUCACAGAUUCAGGCCAUUUGUAUGCAGGCCAGCACUGCAAGCGCCAGUGGGUCAAGCUAACACAGAGAGGCGAUGGCAGACGCCUUUCCGCGAUGGAGCGCAGGAUUAAAGAGCAGACGGACUCCCCCCCCCUUUUCUCCAUUAAUUCCCAGAGGCCUUUCACAGGGGACGAAACAGUGGAUCCCAUCAGAUCAGAGGGGUCUGGGUAUGUCUUUGAAGGGUCCAUCAGAGGGACGUCUCUCUCAGGUGCGCCUGUCCCAUCACAGACAUCCCCUGUCCCAUUGCUGGGGUGUGGCACCGCAAGGCCUCUUGGACGGGUUGAAAGGACCCAAGGAACAGGGGUCCCAAAUCUCCAGACAUCAAAGGGGGGUGGGGGGGUGAACCUGGGUGCUAGGAGUCAGGUGACCGGAGGGAAUUGGACAGAAGGUACCCAGUUUCCCACGGGAGAUGGGAGAGAGGUGACGACACGGGCGGGACCAGGCCCAGCAGCCUCCUUCAUCCCACCAGUGAACUGUCGUCGCUGCAUGAUAUCGCCCGAAACCCAAUCGGAGGUCGGGACCCAGGUGUGCCAGCACAAAGAGCUCCACCUUCGGGCCCGGCAUGAAAGAGGAGCUUAAUCACUAUGGCGACACCAUGGCAGACACCCAGCUUCUCCUGUUCUGUGAGAGAUCCCCUCUAUAUGAGAGAGAGGGUUACAGGACAUCACUGAGAAUUAAUGAUAUGAAACAGCAUGGAUGGUUCAUCUCAUUGAUAGUACAUUAUGGCCAUCAUCAGUAGUGUUAGCAAUGCAAAGUUUUAUAAAAAGGACACGUACAGAGAAGAGGCAUGUAUGUGUUGAAUCCUCUUACACAGUACAUUGUGUAUUUUUCAAACACGUGGACAAUCCUAGUUUUAAAAUAAUAGUUUGUGUAUAAUAACUCACGGUUCAGCUGUACACCUCUUGUGUGGUGCAGUGGUCAUAUGUGAAUACAAUAGGCCUGUGUUUCACUGUCCUUUCCAAAGCCAAGAAUCAGCUUUCAGCCUGUGGGAGACAUAUUAGCACACCUUCAAUCUGUAUUUACUGUUUGUUCCCAAAGCGGUUUGAUUAUAAUUAUGUGCUAAUGAAGCAGAAGCUGAUUGUUGCUGUGGGCACACAUAAAAGAUAAUUUGAUAUUUGAAUAUGCUAAUGGCUCCCAGGAUCAGACACUCCCCACUUUACUGCACAUGCUACUGUAUAUAGCAGUUUAUUUACAUUGUAUGUUUAAUGAUUGUCAGGGCAGAACAUGAGUUUUUCAAAUACAGCCACUGAAAAUGAAUAUAUACAAGAUAAUUGUAUCUUGUGUAAAAUGAAAUGAAUUAGAAAUUAAUUGGAGAGGGCAGUAAGACUCAACAAAACUGGCUCAAAUUGUCCCUCCACAAAAUUAAAAGCGGGAGAGGGUGUACCAGGAGAUCGAUCUAUAAUAAUAUAGCAGGGGUGCACAAACCUUUUCAGCGAUGACCCAAAUACUGUACAUCAAUCCCUGCUUUUCCCGACCCGAACUGAUGUCAUUUUCAUUAAUAGAAGUGAACUGAUAAUGAAUUGCUAAACUGCUGACAAUAGCCAUGUUUUUAGUACCUACAGUAAAAGCUAAAUGAAAGGACAAAGCUACUGAAAAUAGCAGCCGGCUAAUCACUGAAAGCAUAAUCAAAUUAACUGAAUUAAAGGCUUUAUCAGUGGAGCAUUGCAUGUGUAAAGUGCUCAAAGCUGCCAGGAAGAGAACAAUAGGAUAAAACAUUUCUUCUCAUUAA
Molecule: long non-coding RNA, 1894 nt
Organism: Anguilla anguilla (European eel)
Lineage: Eukaryota; Metazoa; Chordata; Actinopteri; Anguilliformes; Anguillidae
Exons: 3
Source: RefSeq, a predicted model, not a curated record